GACGAACGCUGGCGGCGUGCUUAACACAUGCAAGUCGAACGGAAAGGCCCCUUUGGGGGUACUCGAGUGGCGCACGGGUGGGUAACACGUGCGUAACUUGCCCUUGACUUCGGGAUAACUUCAGUAAACUGGGGCUAAUACCGGAUAGGAAUCCUUGCUGCAUGGUGGGGGUUGGAAAGCUUCGGCGGUUUUGGAUGGACUCACGGCUUAUCAGCUUGUUGGUGGGGUAGUGGCUUACCAAGGCUUUGACGGGUAGCCGGCCUGAGAGGGCGACCGGCCACAUUGGGACUGAGAUACGGCCCAGACUCCGACGGGAGGCAGCAGUGGGGAAUAUUGCACAAUGGGCGGAAGCCUGAUGCAGCAACGCCGCGUGCGGGAUGACGGGCUUCGGGUUGGAAACCGCUUUCAGCAGGGGCGAAGCUUGUGGUGACGGUACCGGCAGAAGAAGCACCGGCUAACUACGUG
Molecule: ribosomal RNA, 465 nt
Filed under: uncultured bacterium
Lineage: Bacteria
Description: partial 16S ribosomal RNA
Rfam family: Bacterial small subunit ribosomal RNA
Source: RNAcentral